GACAGAGGCCCCGAGCGUUAGGCGGAAUCACUGGGCUUAAAGCGUGUGUAGGCGGGCCCGUAAGUGUCUUGUGAAAUCCCACGGCUCAACCGUGGAACUGCUGGGCAUACUGCGGGUCUUGGGCCAACUAGGGCAGCCGGAACAAGCGGUGGAGCGGUGAAAUGCGUAGAUAUGCGGAGGAACACCGAUGGCGAAGGCAAUCCCCUGGGCCUGCACUGACGCUCAUGCACGAAAGCGUGGGGAGCAAACAGG
Molecule: ribosomal RNA, 252 nt
Filed under: uncultured bacterium
Lineage: Bacteria
Description: partial 16S ribosomal RNA
Rfam family: Bacterial small subunit ribosomal RNA
Source: RNAcentral